UACGUAGGGCGCGAGCGUUAAUCGGAAUUACUGGGCGUAAAGUGUGCGCAGGCGGCCGAGCAAGUCGAGUGUGAAAGCCCCGAGCUUAACUUGGGAACUGCGCUCGAAACUACUUGGCUAGAGUGUGGCAGAGGGAGGUGGAAUUCCACGUGUAGCGGUGAAAUGCGUAGAGAUGUGGAGGAACACCGAUGGCGAAGGCAGCCUCCUGGGCCAACACUGACGCUCAUGCACGAAAGCGUGGGGAGCAAACAGG
RNAcentral lists this ribosomal RNA (253 nucleotides) under uncultured bacterium. RNAcentral's name for it is "partial 16S ribosomal RNA". It matches the Rfam family "Bacterial small subunit ribosomal RNA", at positions 524 to 776 of the family's 1533-position model. The record is from RNAcentral.